CUCUUGAGGUCAUGGCCUACUUAGAGGAUACCUUAGCAAAUCGGUACAAACAUUGGAAGAACUAUCUUCACACGCAUUUUAAGCGAUGGGAUGAUCCGGAGUUUGCUCGCCUACAUGGUUGCCCAACCGAAUUGCAGGACCGGCCGGAGGAUUGGGAGUGGCUCUGCAAACAUUUUACGGACCCAAAAUUUGUAAAGAAAUCUAUUGCUGGCAAGAUAGCUCGGGACUCAAAGACACUUCUCCACCAUUCUGGUUCGAAGCCCUUUUCGUAUAGGCUUGAGGCACGACGUCAGGAGGGUUCUAAGUUCCCAUAGAUCGACAUGUUCGAGGACGUUUACGUUCGACCUGGUGAUGAGCUAGCUAAGCAGCUUCAUGAUGCUAUGGUGGAACAGCGCACUACUGUUCUCCAAGAAGCAACAUCACAACUUCCCCCGGAGACCUCGAUCGAGGACGCCACGAUACCCGAGG
Long non-coding RNA from Pyrus x bretschneideri (Chinese white pear), 468 nucleotides. RefSeq lists it as uncharacterized. The record is from RefSeq and is a predicted model, not a curated record. The transcript has 4 exons. NCBI's taxonomy places the organism in Eukaryota, Viridiplantae, Streptophyta, Magnoliopsida, Rosales, Rosaceae.